GACCUCUGCAAAAAAAAUAAACAUAAGCCUAUCAACAAAAAAUCGGCAACACCUCCCCCAUACAGGGAAGUUUCCAAAACCUGUAAAUAAAAGUAACAACAUGAUGACGAACGUUCACAUAUGUUUCAACGGCACGAUAGCCAAAAAUCACAUAUAUAUUUUCAAUCCAUGUCGCAGAAUAUCAAACCACAUCUAAUCAACAUUUCUAUCCACACAAACAUUGGUCUCACACAAAAAGGCACAUGUCACAAAUCUAUACAUCAAAUAUAUGAGAACACCUGAAUAUUGCC
RNAcentral lists this long non-coding RNA (290 nucleotides) under Zea mays. RNAcentral's name for it is "drought responsive lncRNA". Lineage: Eukaryota; Viridiplantae; Streptophyta; Magnoliopsida; Poales; Poaceae. The record is from RNAcentral.